Molecule: microRNA precursor, 85 nt
Filed under: Chlorocebus sabaeus (green monkey)
Lineage: Eukaryota; Metazoa; Chordata; Mammalia; Primates; Cercopithecidae
Description: miRNA (ENSCSAG00000020310.1)
Source: RNAcentral
UAUUAUGUUGGUGCAAAAGUAAUCGCGGUUUUCCUCAUUACAUUUAAUGGCAAAAACCGCAAUUACUUUUGUACCAAUCUAAUAU